Molecule: ribosomal RNA, 697 nt
Filed under: uncultured bacterium
Lineage: Bacteria
Description: bacterial SSU rRNA
Rfam family: Bacterial small subunit ribosomal RNA
Source: RNAcentral
AACGCUAGCUACAGGCUUAACACAUGCAAGUCGAGGGGAAACGACAUCGAAAGCUUGCUUUUGAUGGGCGUCGACCGGCGCACGGGUGAGUAACGCGUAUCCAACCUGCCCACCACUUGGGGAUAACCUUGCGAAAGUAAGACUAAUACCCAAUGACGUCUCUAGAAGACAUCUGAAAGAGAUUAAAGAUUUAUCGGUGAUGGAUGGGGAUGCGUCUGAUUAGCUUGUUGGCGGGGUAACGGCCCACCAAGGCAACGAUCAGUAGGGGUUCUGAGAGGAAGGUCCCCCACAUUGGAACUGAGACACGGUCCAAACUCCUACGGGAGGCAGCAGUGAGGAAUAUUGGUCAAUGGGCGGAAGCCUGAACCAGCCAAGUAGCGUGAGGGAUGACUGCCCUAUGGGUUGUAAACCUCUUUUAUAGGGGAAUAAAAUACGGGACGUGUCCUGUUUUGCAUGUACCUUAUGAAUAAGGACCGGCUAAUUCCGUGCCAGCAGCCGCGGUAAUACGGAAGGUCCGGGCGUUAUCCGGAUUUAUUGGGUUUAAAGGGAGCGUAGGCGGUCUUAUAAGCGUGACGUGAAAUGCAGCGGCUCAACCGUAUGAUGUGCGUCGCGAACUGUGAGACUUGAGUGUAUUCGAUGUCAGCGGAAUUUGUGGUGUAGCGGUGAAAUGCUUAGAUAUCACGAAGAACUCCGAUUG